CUCGAAAGCCUGUCCCAGUUCGGACUGGAGUCUGCAACCCGACUCCACGAAGUUGGAUUCGCUAGUAAUCGCGCAUCAGCCAUGGCGCGGUGAAUACGUUCCCGGGCCUUGUACACACCGCCCGUCAAGCCAUGGGAGCCGGGGGCGCCUGAAGUCCGGGACCGCGAGGACCGGCCUAGGGCGAAACUGGUAACUGGGGCUAAGUCGUAACAAGGUAGC
This 219-nucleotide ribosomal RNA is filed under the name uncultured bacterium. RNAcentral's name for it is "partial 16S ribosomal RNA". It matches the Rfam family "Bacterial small subunit ribosomal RNA", at positions 1274 to 1500 of the family's 1533-position model. The record is from RNAcentral.